RNAcentral lists this ribosomal RNA (253 nucleotides) under uncultured bacterium. RNAcentral describes it as "partial 16S ribosomal RNA". It matches the Rfam family "Bacterial small subunit ribosomal RNA", at positions 524 to 776 of the family's 1533-position model. The record is from RNAcentral.
UACGUAGGGUGCAAGCGUUGUCCGGAAUUAUUGGGCGUAAAGAGCUCGUAGGCGGUUUGUUGCGUCGGCUGUGAAAUCCUGAGGCUCAACCUCAGGCCUGCGCGGGAUACUGCUUGGCUAGAGUCCGGAAGAGGAGAGUGGAAUUCCUGGUGUAGCGGUGGAAUGCGCAGAUAUCAGGAGGAACAUCCGUGGCGAAGGCGGCUCUCUGGGACGGUACUGACGCUGAGACGCGAAAGCGUGGGGAGCGAACAGG